Molecule: ribosomal RNA, 1487 nt
Filed under: feces metagenome
Description: bacterial LSU rRNA
Rfam family: Bacterial large subunit ribosomal RNA
Source: RNAcentral
GAUAAACAGUGUGAGAGACACUGUCGCCGAAAGUCCAAGGGUUCCUGCUUAAAGCUAAUCUGAGCAGGGUAAGCCGACCCCUAAGGCGAGGCCGAAAGGCGUAGUCGAUGGGAACCAGGUUAAUAUUCCUGGGCCAGAUGGAAGUGACGGAUCAUGAAGAUUGUUCACCCUUAUCGGAUUGGGUGGGCCGUUGAUUGGUCCCUGGAAAUAGCUCCAUCGCUAGAUCGUACCCUAAACCAACACAGGUGGACUGGUAGAGAAUACCAAGGCGCUUGAGAGAACCACAUUUAAGGAACUCGGCAAAAUACCUCCGUAAGUUCGCGAGAAGGAGGCCCGGUUUUUACGCAAGUAGAGGCCGGGGGCACAAACCAGGGGGUGGCGACUGUUUACUAAAAACAUAGGGCUCUGCGAAGUCGUAAGACGACGUAUAGGGUCUGACGCCUGCCCGGUGCCUGAAGGUUAAAAGGAGGGGUGAGAGCUCUGAAUUGAAGCCCAGGUAAACGGCGGCCGUAACUAUAACGGUCCUAAGGUAGCGAAAUUCCUUGUCGGGUAAGUUCCGACCUGCACGAAUGGCGUAACGACUUCCCCGCUGUCUCAAAUGUGGACUCAGCGAAAUUGAAUUACCUGUCAAGAUGCAGGUUUCCCGCGGUUAGACGGAAAGACCCCGUGCACCUUUACUACAGCUUCGCACUGGCAUCAGGAUUGUGAUGUGCAGGAUAGGUGGUAGACUUUGAAGCAGGAUCGCUAGAUUCUGUGGAGUCAUCCUUGAGAUACCACUCUUCGCACUCUUGAUGUCUAACCGCGGUCCGUUAUCCGGAUCCGGGACCCUGCGUGGCGGGUAGUUUGACUGGGGCGGUCGCCUCCUAAAUCGUAACGGAGGCGCGCGAAGGUUGGCUCAGAGCGGUCGGAAAUCGCUCGUUGAGUGCAAUGGCAGAAGCCAGCCUGACUGCAAGACUGACAAGUCGAGCAGAGUCGAAAGACGGCCAUAGUGAUCCGGUGGUCCCAAGUGGGAGGGCCAUCGCUCAACGGAUAAAAGGUACGCCGGGGAUAACAGGCUGAUACUGCCCAAGAGUCCAUAUCGACGGCAGUGUUUGGCACCUCGAUGUCGGCUCAUCUCAUCCUGGGGCUGGAGCAGGUCCCAAGGGUAUGGCUGUUCGCCAUUUAAAGAGGUACGCGAGCUGGGUUUAGAACGUCGUGAGACAGUUCGGUCCCUAUCUACCGUGGGCGUUGGAAAUUUGAGAGGAUCUGCUCCUAGUACGAGAGGACCAGAGUGGACGAACCUCUGGUGUUCGGGUUGUCACGCCAGUGGCAUUGCCCGGUAGCUACGUUCGGAUGGGAUAACCGCUGAAAGCAUCUAAGCGGGAAGCCCACCUCAAGAUAAGAUUUCCCUAAAGAGCCGUUCAAGACUAGGACGUUGAUAGGCAGGGUGUGGAAGCACAGCGAUGUGUGUAGCUAACCUGUACUAAUUGCUCGUUUGGCUUGACCAU